RNAcentral lists this long non-coding RNA (2376 nucleotides) under Neodiprion lecontei (redheaded pine sawfly). RNAcentral describes it as "uncharacterized LOC124293151". The record is from RNAcentral. Lineage: Eukaryota; Metazoa; Arthropoda; Insecta; Hymenoptera; Diprionidae.
GGCUUAUAGAGAUAGACUGCGCCGUCCGUGCACCAGGUUGAAGCCCUAAUUAGAAAGAGAAAGUGACAGCGGGAGUCCGACCUGUCUGUUCCACGAUCGAAAAAGUGGGACCGUCACCAUAUGACCGUCACAAGAUGGCUGCAAAAAUGACUGGUUUAUGUCCACUUGACCAAAAUGGCCGCGGCUAACGCGUGAGUCGUAAUUGUGAAUUCUAACCUAUCUCACCUACAACCUACAUGUCUUGUGGCGUUUGCUUCAGCAAGAAUAACAGAGUCGUUGAUUGCAAAUUGGAUGCAGGAAUCGCGUACUGUAUUUCAAGGCGACAGAAACAGAGGUUAUCAUCCCGAUCAUACGUCUCAAAAAACUGAUUCAGAAGACUUUCAUUGCCGGAGGACUUGUGCCAAAAAAAAAAACUGCAAGUUUUCAAUUGCCGCUACUGUGGUAAAAACUACGCAUAUCACGUCACAAGGAUGGCAGAGCAUCUGAAACGUUCGUAUGUGAGCUGCUGUUUGUCAGUAAAGAAUGUUUUGAAAAAUAAGAAUUCACCGAAUUCGAAAAAGAAACGGAAGAAAAGACGCAAGUCACAGAGUUCUUCCAGCAGCAAAAAGAAUUCGUCAAUCACUAAUUGCAGCUCGGAGUCUAACGCUGAUGUUAAAUCCGUAACAAACAUCAGCGAUAAAACUGAAAUUUCGUGUAAAUCUGGUACUCGUGCAUCUAGUACUUCUGAUUUCUGAGAGGAAGCAUCAGUGUUUCGAGGAAAAAAUGAACUAAUAACGUCACACAUGGCUAAAUUCUGUGAUAGAAUGUCAAAACUCGAACAGGGACGCCUUAAUGAACUUCUCGCUGUGACUAUAUAUACUUCAGCAACUGCUCUCAAUAUAACCCAAAGUGUAUUUUGGCAGGACUUCUUCGGAGCUUUGCGUCCAUCCUAUAAGUUGCCGUCAAGGUAUGAAAUUUUCCAAUACUUCAUUGACUGCAUCGUAUGAUAGAGUAAAACGAGAUGUUGACGAAAAAGUUCAGAUUACUGAUUCUGUUGGAUUGAAAUGCGACGGGUGGUCCAAUAUACGUAACGAAGGAAUAAUCAACUUCAUCGUUACGGCUCCUGGUAUAGUAUUUUUUAACGAUUGCGACAACAACUAAUGCUCAGACUGCGGAAUAUAUUGCUAAACAAAUUAGCGAAGUCAUUGAUGUUAUCGGACCAUAAAAGUUACUUGGAGUUUGUACUGAUAACGCAGCCACGAUGAAAUGUACCUGGAGAAUACUGCAGGGCCAGUAUCAGGAGCUCGAUAUCACUUUCUACAGCUGCGUCACUCACAUUUUAGAUCUCUUAAUCAAAGACACGAUGUUUCAACCGUCAAUUGACAAACUCGCGACGAAUGGAACAGCAAUCGUCAAAGAAAUUAAAGAUAAACACAUAGUAUCAGCCACAUUUGCCGAGAUUCAACAGCAAGACCAAAACAAUAUCUCAACAACUCUUAAGCUUCCGGUCAAGACAAGACUUGGGUCUCUGCUUUUCUGUGUGGAAAGUUUGCUAGAAAAUAAGCAUAAUCUGCAAGCUUUAGCAAUUUCUCAAAAUGCGGAUCGCCAUUUCAAUGCUUUAAUAAAAAAUAUUAUCUUGGGAGAGGAGUUUUGAUUCAUGACGUUCAAGACUUUGCGUUUGCUCAAACCCGUGGGAAAAUGGAUCACAACGUUGGAAGGAGACAAUCCUAAACUAAGCCUAGUCCCCGAAACUUUCUACGAGCUGAGGAAUCACUUCGCUAAGGAGCUUAAAGAAUCUUGUCUACGCGUACUGACAGAUGUCGAGACAAAAGAAAUGUUUUCUUUAUUCGACAAACGAUGAAGCAUGGUGAUCAAUCAAGUUGACUUUGCUGCGAAUAUUCUCGACCUAGUCUUGAAAGGUCAACAUUUAAGCGACGAUGAUUCGGUGGAUGGGAUUGCCCUCAUCUUCGAGUUAGCAAAUAAAUUCGGAUUGGAUCAAAAUAAACUUCAUCAAGAAUUGACUGAGUUCACAACGAAUACGGGAAUUUUGAGUCAAGAGUAUAUACGAAGAGCUAUUUCUAUAACUUCGGCACAAAAGUGGUGGAAGGCCAUGUGCGACACUACAAAGCUCAGUAGAAUUGCUAGUAGAAACCUAUUCUCGACUUGCCAGCUACAUCAGCUGGUGCGGAACGGUCCUUUAGCACCUUUGGGUGAAUUCAUUCUUCUAAAAGAAAAAGACUUUCGACUGAACGAGGCGCGAUGAUAACUUAUAUAGCCCACAAUUUAGAACUUUUACAUCCGAGACGUAAAAAAAAAAAACAAAAAAAUGAGGAAGACAUUGUAUCAGCCACUGAGAAAGAGUUUUCUGCUGAUGACAAUCUUGACACACACGAGGGA